Molecule: RNA transcript, 9008 nt
Organism: Triticum aestivum (bread wheat)
Lineage: Eukaryota; Viridiplantae; Streptophyta; Magnoliopsida; Poales; Poaceae
Gene name: transcriptional regulatory protein AlgP
Exons: 14
Source: RefSeq, a predicted model, not a curated record
AUUAGUACAUGAUCAUGCCAAAAACAAGUGAUGGGAAGGAGUUGGGAGGGGCAACUGAAAAGGGACUCACCAGCAUAAACCACAGGCACGUAUGGGUUUGGAAAAGCAAAGAAGAUAGGAGAUCCAUGAGAAGGAGGUGGAACGGUGGAAGUGGAAGUCGAGCGGAAGGUGUCGGUAUCUGCCUCCUCCAAUCCAUGCCCCGCCGCCGCUAGCUGAAAGGACCUUCCCGAGGUCCAAUCUUGCACGACAUCUCAUCCAUGCGCCGCCGCCGCUGAAAGGAGCUUUUCGAGAUCCUUCUUACGCGGCAGUUUUUGCUUCAGUUUCAAAUUGGAAGUGACGCGCGGUACAACUGCGAGAGUAUGGAGAAGGAUGUAGGAGGAGUACAGCCGGCCAUGGACGUCGCCGGCGCAGCUGUCCGCCGCAGCUGCCAUGGAGGAACGCUGCAAGAUGGGAAAUUAAAAACAGUAAAAAGGGGCCUACAGAGGAAGAAUACAUAGAGAGUAGAGGGUGCCAACGCGGAGAUAGACCUGUAGUAGAGAGUCGCCGACGGGAUAGAUGACCACGGCGGCGCAUCACGGAUGAAUGAACGGUGGCUCAUCGUGGACCGAGGAACACUAAACGAAGAGGUCGAGGGAACGGGAUAGCGCUGUGAAUACACUGGACCACCUGCCCCGUGCGAAUGGGAAGUUGGACCUGGGCCUUUGAUGGCCCGAAUACGGAGAGGGAAGGGAGCUCGCUCCGCAGAGCAGCGGCCCGCGAGAUGGUGUAUGGAGCGCCAGGAUGACAUGGGGACGACUGAGGUGAUUCAAGUGAUCAGACGGCUAGCAGGCUGAAAACACUGUGGAGGCUGGGUGUUAGCUACGUUAUACUGUUUCUCAAUAUCGGGACACAGAAGCAUGAAUCUUAAUUGUCUCAAUUAUAUUUUGUGCUUGGAGUCUCAGUAUCAUAAUUGAAGUUCCGAAUCAAGUUAAAUGAAAAAAUAGCUUAUGACUAACAUUAACUCCAUAACUUCUAGAAUUCAUUGUGACUCUAGAAAAAGUUCAGUAAAUAUGGCUUAAACAUAAUAAAUGAAGCGUACAAACAUGCCAAUGAUUUCUUUGAUAUCAAAUAAGGCACAAAUAAUGUUGCCCUAGAACAUAAGUACAUUCCAUCUAGACGUGUGUGUAGACAUGCAUGAUACAUGUCAAAUGCUCCCUCAGUUCAUAGAAUAACUGCUUUGUUUCUUGCUCUGACUCAGCUCAUGCGACCAGUCUUAUCUCAUAAACAAAAAACAGUCUAAACAAAAAAGGAUUUCCAAAAUAGAUCAUACAUAAUUCUAGCAAUUGCCAAUAAAUCGAGGCUUUUUACCAACUUGAUGGUAAGAAAUCGCCGGACCUAGAAAUUCAUUUCGUACAAUUGAACCUUUUCAAAACUUUAUUGUACAAGUCAGACCAGAGCCUGAGCACUCAUAAAACCAGAGCCUUUUUUAGCUCCUUGGCAUCAUAUAUCUUCACAUUGUCAUAAAGUGGUAUGUGUAAACAUAACAUGAAGCAUCAGGAGGAUAUUAUGAUAGUUCACAAGAACAUAAGAUAAAUGAGAUAAGCAGGUUUACCUAUGUCCUAUAGCACAACUUGGCUUCUGGAAAUUUUCUCCCACCAAAACACCGGAAAGCAAGUCACUACUAGAGUAUGGAAUUUGCUUCUUAGAAUCUUCAGAUGUGUGUUCAGAAGCUCAUGCAAAGAAGAGAUCAAUAAGAACCCGAGGAAUAGAAUAGCCUGAGGAAAAGAAGAGCCAUCAAAUGAAUUAUACAAGUAUCUCACUGGAAUUGUUUCUUUUUCUGGCCGCAGAAAACAACUCACUCCUGAAUGUCCUACACGAAAUGAAACUUUUUACAAAUAUAACUUCAAGAAGCUAAGCUGCUAAGAUGUCCUGUAAGAGAAUAAAUGGCAUAACAGGUGUCCCUCAUAGCUCAAACACAUAUGUAAUUCAGAGAUUUUCUUCUUCCUCUGAGACAGCAAGAAAGAAAGAAAUACACUAUGUAUUCUUCAUGGAAUAAAAAAUGUCAAAACUGACUAAGCUCAUUUCAGUUAGUGGGCAUGAAGAAUAUCUUUCGGUAAGAAAUCUGUGUUUACAAAAUCAAUUGUAAAAGAAAGUCAUUAUACAGAAAAAAUAACAUUCCCUUGAUAACUCCCGAACUUCAAAUGUUUAUCAGGCAAUUGAGAUCAGUCAUACAGAAUCAAAUGAACUGAUGGUUAAGGAAAACACAAAAAUGGAAGGCGCAAGAAACAAAUCAAAUGGUUUCAUGAGAAAACCUUAGAUAGAUUGCAACACAUGGAAAAAAUUAGAAGAAUUAAAUUCUAAAAACAAUUCUAGCCAUAGGAUAAUUGGGUAGAUUCAGCGAAAAGGAGAAAAAGAAACCAAGAAACUAAACACAUCCACUGUGAAGUAUUGAAGUCUACAGGAAGAGCCAAGAACAUCUAAAUGGUACUGGAUGGUUGCAUGAGAAUCUGAGCAUGUGUAUCCCUAGUUUUAGAAAGCAAAAGUGUGCUACUCAAUGCUACUCUUGUUCACUGUACAUCAACCUAAACUAAACACUUUGACUUGAAAAGGACUUGAAACAUGUCUACUUCAUUUCCGAAUUAGUUAGUCUUUAGUUUAGAUUAGUGAGGUAUCACAGAAAUAUUGUCUUGUAUCAGCAUAAAUUCCAUUGCACAAUAAUUAAGUGAUGUUGGCUAUGUGCUUGUAUUUCAUCUUAAGACUGAAAGUACAGUUGUGUGUCGCUUCAACAGACAUGCUGAAGAGGAAGAUUGUAGUUACCAGUGCUGCCUUGUAGUACUUAUAGAUGUCCUCCAUGUAGUCGACAACAGCUGGUUCAUUGUGGCCAUCGAGCUUGUCGAUAUCAUCCACGUAGGUGUCUUGCCAAUAACACGCAGCCAGACUUCAAAUUUGUAAUAAUGGUGUCCUCCCAUAUCACUGGUUUACAAGGGGAAAAUACAACAGUCUCGCUUCCAUUUCCUAACAAAAAGAGCUGGCCAGAUAAAUUUCACAAAUAGUAUCCUUAAAAAAAGAUAAAUAAUUUGUAAUUCCACAGGAAAUAAUCCUUGUAGAAUGCAUACAGACCAUAAUUAUCAUUUAUAAUAAUGUGUUCAACAACUUUAGUUCUGCUAUUACUGACACAUGUUUCAAUUAGUGAAUAAGAAACUUAAUGAUGACACCUGUUGUUUGAGGAUGAAAGUGUUAUUUCACUCCAUGGAACAAUUGCUUCAAUUCUUUCAAAAUGGAAGCAUACAACAAAAGGCUUCCGAACACGAGGGGUCAACAUACUCUAAAUCAGUCCGUACAAUUUAAAAUCUACAUUCAGGCCAUAUUGAGUUAGUGUCUACCACCAUGAAAUUGCAGCUAGAAGCCAGCAAGUACGCUACAAUGACUGAGAACUUGAACGAUUGAGGGAUAAUGUAGAAAGAUGCAAAGAACUAACCUCCAAUUGGAAGGGCAUGAAGAUGCCAGCUCCUUCUCUGCUAUAUCUUCCUUAAUAUCUAUUCGAGUGGCCAUGUAUGUUCCAAAGUUGAAGAUAAAAGAAAUUUAAAAAUAUGCAAAUUGGCACACAUGUCCAUUCCACUGAACAUAUGCAACCCAUAUCUGUAAAAAAUAUAAAUUUAGUACAUGUUCAUAAAGAAUAAGUAACAACACAUGAUGGUCUUAAUAUCCAGUGUCUCAUGUUGGAUACAUUUUUAAAUAUGUGCAGUUUCACAUUUGAGCAGAACAAAAUUAAUUGACAGAGCUGUGAUGGCUCUAAAUAGCAAAAUGGCUCACAAAAUCUUACAAAACAAAAACUAUGAGAUUGUCUUGACAGACUACUAUUUAUAGUUCUCCUGUGAUACAAUCCUGGACCACACAAAUGCCUUGUAUCUCUCCUAUUUUAUUACUCGUGCGAUGUUUUCACGGGCCCAUCACUAUACAACUUCAAAUCUAUGUAAAGCAUCACCAUGUGUUUCCAAUAGUAAUCUAUUUAUUAGUUCUGUGAUGUUUUCACGGGCCCAUUCUCUAUACAUCUUCAAAUCUAUGUAAAGCAUCACAUGUGAUUUCAAUAGUAAUCUACUCCCUCCGUCCCACAAUAUAGGACGUUUUUACAAAUUAUGUUAGUUUGCAAAACGUCUUAUAUUAUGGGACAGAGGGAGUAAUUAUUAGUAGUGAUAUGUUUUCACGGGUUGAACCACAUUAAGCCGUCGAAGGUUUGCCCCGUCUUUAGUACAAGGUAAAACAAGUGGCGAAGUUGUUGUCACUUAGGAAUGGAAAUCAUGUGCAAUCAAGUUGGACACAUAUUUCUGAUUUAGAACAACUAUCUAAUGUGUGUUUAUAUGUCUUUUUAUCACCCCGUUGCAACGCACGGGCAUUCAACUAGUUAAACCUAAAAGGUAAAUGCUCUAAAUAGGAUCGUAGGAGAAAAGAAGAAUAAGUAGAUCCAGGAUGCAGUGGUGUGAAUGCACAAUGCAUGUGGGAUAUAGAGCUCUUUGCUUUAUAGAUAAAAACUCUAAUGGUCAAGCCUCGUGAAUCCUGAUUCACCCAAGGUACACAAGUUGUAGGGCUAAUAAUGGGCUCGUCUAAAAGGGACAUUUCACUAUUUUUGUACCCUUUUUUCAUCUAAAUGGGAAAUUACAAUGUUUUAUGCAAAUAAUUUACAGAAGGAUUUAAGAACACACAAGUUAAUUUUAUUCUUGGAGAGGUGCGGACUUCAAUAAAGGCUAAAGACCAGGGAGCUGGCGUUGGGCAUAAUAAGUGUUAUCUCCAAUAGAUUGAAGAUGAUACACAUCAGAAUCCUUACCGGGCCGCGCUUUGCAAUUCGAAAUGAAGACCUCCACCCCAAGGAUCUUGCAAACCCUUAUUCAAGCCCUCCGUGCAACAAGUGGAGCAGUGGAAGCAUGAAGGCCCCUAACGGACGAAGACCUGCAGGCGGUGGUGCGUGGGGGGAUCUGGCGGCGUGGCUUUCGCCCGGAGCCGAUGUGGCGGUGGGAUGCGACCGCUCUCCCCUAAGCUGAGCGCGGCAAUGUCCACGGGAGGCGUUGAAGGCUGCGGUCGGCAGCGCCGCAUGGGUGCAACAAGAACUGCUCAUGUUUGCAGAGAACAAUGACCCAAUAUGCGAUCGUGUCGGUGCCGAGGGAUUAUGAGGGAGGCGGUGGGAGAGGAGGAAGUCGCCUGAAGGGAAGCGGGCGAGCGGGGUGUGGCCGAGGUCCAUUACCACCUUCACCAGCGCAGGGAGAUCCGGGUGAUCCUUUGCCCACCGCCACAGAUCCCCGAGGAGAAGCUCCAGUAGCCUGCACAGCUCCUCCUUGAACCCCUCCGGCCCGACAGACUUGCAUUGCGCGGUGCACACGGGAGCGUGGCCCCGGCGGCCGCAGCGGAGGGAGAGGUGGCGAGUUGUAGGGCUAAUAAUGGGCUCGUCUAAAAGGGACAUUUCACUAUUUUUGUACUCUUUUUUCAUCUAAAUGGGAAAUUACAAUGUUUUAUGUAAAUAAUUUACAGAAGGAUUUAAGAACACACAAGUUAAUUUUAUUCUUGGAGAGGUGCGGACUUCAAUAAAGGCUAAAGACCAGGGAGCUGGCGUUCGUAUGGCGUUAGUUUGCUGGUAUAACCAGCUGGAGUUAAUCAUCAGUUUUACAGUAAAAUUUUGGGCAUAAUAAGUGUUAUCUCCAAUAGAUUGAAGAUGAUACACAUCAAAAUCCUUACCGGACCGCGCUUUGCAAUUCGAAACGAAGACCUCCACCCCAAGGAUCUUGCAAACCCUUAUUCAAGCCCUCCGUGCAACAAAUGGAGCAGUGGAAGCAUGAAGGCCCCUAACGGACGAAGACCUGCAGGCGGUGGUGCGUGGGGGGAUCUGGCGGCGUGGCUUUCGCCCGGAGCCGAUGUCCCGGCGGCGUGGCUUUCGCCCGGAGCCGAUGUGGCGGUGGGAUCCGACCGCUCUCCCCUGAGCUGAGCGCGGCAACGUCCACGGGAGGCGUUGAAGGCUGCGGUCGGCAGCGCCGCGUGGGUGCAACAAGAACUGCUCAUGUUUGCAGAGAACAACGACCCAAUAUGCGAUCGUGUCGGUGCCGAGGGAUUAUGAGGGAGGCGGUGGGAGAGGAGGAAGUCGCCUGAAGGGAAGCGGGCGAGCGGGGUGCGGCCGAGGUCCAUUACCACCUCCACCAACGCAGGGAGAUCCGGGUGAUCCUUCGCCCACCGCCACAGAUCCCCGAGGAGAAGCUCCAGUAGCCUGCACAGCUCCUCCUUGAACCCCUCCAGCGCGACAGACUUGCAUUGCACGGUGCACACGGGAGCGUGGCCCCGGCGGCCGCAGCGGAGGGAGAGGUGGCGAGUGGUGGCUGGGCCACACGUCACGGAGGAGAAGCGGCGAGUGUAGGGAGAGGGCGAAGGCGGGAUGGGUGAGGGAGAAUCGGAGGUGGAGGUGGGGCGGCGGCGGCGGCAAGCGCGUGCCGGUGGAGGGAAAGAGAUCGGGAUGGGGAGGAGCGAACAGUUGUCUGGAGAGUGGAGCCGUGCGUUGGGUUCGUGGGUUCCAACUGGCUCGUAUUUUCUUUGAGCUGUUAUGUAUAUGUGGAUGGAUCGUGGCGUGGGGAAGGGGUUCGAACCAUGACGACGCGUCAUGCAUUUCGAUGGGUGUGAUGUGAUUUUUUACGAGACUCCCACAGCGAGGGAGUGAGGUGGGAUCGUACGAGCGAUUUUCUUGGUGCGGUAUCGAGGUCGAACCAUUAGGAGAGGUCGAACCAUCACGACAUUCGAUCUCCUUUCUCUACUCCUAAGGGAGCAGUUGGUAGUCUCGCUUCCAGUUUUUUUAGUCCCACCUCCCACGGUUUAUUUUGGUACCUCCUCCCACCUCUGACUAAGAUAUCACAAACCGAAAAAACCUCCUCCUGAGGCCCGAACCCGCACCUAUCCACAUGCGACCCUCAAAAGACGUACGAAGGUUAACCUGCGACAAAAAAAACCUACGACGGUUAACCAGCGACGAGUCCUGUUCUCGAGCGAGGCCUCCCUUCGUGGCCGCCCUACAUCCCUGCGCUGCCGCGCUUCAGUCGCUGCCCUCCAUCCUCGCCGCCCUCCAUCCUGGUCGAGGUCGCCGCCCCGCUUCACUCGCCGUCCUCCAUCCGCGUCGAUCCUGGACAAGGUCGCCGCGGCACUCCAUCACUUCGCCGCCGCGCUGAACACCUCGACGAUCCAGCGCGGGUCCUGGAUCAGGUCGCCGCCGCCCUCCAUCACUUCGCCGCCGCGCUGAACUCCUCGCCCUUGAUCCAGGAUCCGGCGCCGAUCCUGGACGAGGAUAAGCGGACACGUCCAGGAUCCGGCCAGAACACGUCCUGGAUCCGAAAAAUAGUUGCAUAUGGGGAAUUCAAAAAGCACGGUUGGCGAACAUCAACCUGAAGAUGACGUAACUACAGGUCUUACACGCGGGAGAAGUGAUGCAGAACACAAUGCGAGCAUCAUACCCGUAGCUGAAAUUGUUGAUAACGUCUACUCGACGGAAUCAGUCCUUACGGGCGGGAUAAAUGUUGGAGACUACAAUGCAAACUUCAUACCCUUACAUGCAGGGCAGGAACCUUCAAACGACGGGAUUUCGUCGUAUUCUGAGAAUAAUAAGGAUGGUACGACUAAGCUACGAGAUGAUACUCAAGAUGACAAAACUUCCGAGCAGCACGCAACAGUAGCUGUAUUUAAUGAAGAAAAAAAAUGUUGGCGAAACAAGGGAGCAGUUCAACGCACAGAGGUGUGAAUCUUAUCGGAAGAAAAAAGAGGAGGAUAUGGUCAGGUUACAAGAGUAUAAUCAGCCAUCCCUUUCAAAGACUGAUCAUAGGGAUCUUAUCAACGCGUGGAGGCGGGCAUCUUAUCGCACUAAGAAGUCAGAUGGUUUUAUAAACCAUCUAGACGAUGGGCCGAUUGUUCACCGCCGUACUCUAUGUGAUAUCACAAAUGUUCAACAACCUUCAUAUGUGAUCCCUGGAACUAAUGUUGGGGCAGCUAAUCAAACCCACGCGAGAUGAUAAGCACAGGAAAGUUGAUCUUCGUCCCCUUUGUAAUCCAAAUGACCCAGCUAGCUCGGUUGAUACAUCAAUCUCGCAUAAUGAAUCAACAUAUCCUCCUAAAGCUACGUGAGCGUCUGAUGUAAUUGCAGAUAAAAAUAUAAAAGAAAAUACGCAAGUAACAGAAGAAGAACGCAAACAAGACCGUAAAAAAGCUUUGAGGAGAGCUGCAUAUCGGCAGAGAAAAGAUCGGAAUCUCCAAGAUGAACAUGCACAGGCCCUUAUUUUAUCUGCCAACCCAACUAGCUCCAACUAUACAUCAUUCUCGUUUGAUGCGACGGCAUUUCAUGCUACAACUACUGUCACAUCUGGUCUCAUUAAUGACAUGGAGGUACAAGAUGUGGUCUUGAAUAACACCCAAGAAACAAAGCAAAAAACCGACGAAGAACUCAAGAGAGAUCGUAGAAACGCCCUGCGGAGAGCUGCUUAUAGGAGGAAAAAGGAUAAGCUUAUCCAUGAUGAAAACAUACGUCCACUUUUGUUAUCAGGCUGCAUUAAUCUAGGACCUGGCGAGGAUUGGUUCAGAGAGCAAGCAUCGUUCUGCAGUAUCUUAAGGACGCUGGUUGGGCUGAGGGUGGUCGACUUAUAGGUUGCACCCAGCCAAGACGAUUGGCUGUGCAGAUAUCCAUGAAGCCAGCCUCAUGACACUUGACGAAACACGUGCGUACGUCAAUGGUGUUGUUCAAGCUAGGAACAAUGGAGGCUAGAAGUAUCUGUGUACACAAGUGCACAAUUUGUCUUAGAUAUAAAAAUGUAUGAACGCUUUGCAUGCAACAUUUUGUUGCCAAUUGUCACAUUAUGAAGUGUUCGCUUAUGUCUUGGAGGUUUAAUAAUAUGUGAUAUUCAAUAAAAAAAUCUAUUUAACAGUGUCGUCAUAUUUCGGAGCCAUAUACUGUGAAGUUCUGAACUAUAUAUUUGACUAAUAUAUAUUUGAUGACCAAACUGUCAAUAAUGGACUUCAAA